Rattus norvegicus (Norway rat) is the source of this 630-nucleotide non-coding RNA. NCBI's taxonomy places the organism in Eukaryota, Metazoa, Chordata, Mammalia, Rodentia, Muridae. The record is from RefSeq and is a predicted model, not a curated record.
GGCAUGCCUAUCUAUACUCGUGGAUCUAGAGAGACCUAUCAGAGAUUCUGGGCAUCUGUCAAAGAAAUGUAGGCUGGUGAAGUUUGCAGUUUUCAUCCUGGUUUCUGUAUCUACAGGCUAUGGUGUUGUGAAGACAAGGUACCACAUGUGCAGCUGUGAAUAAGUCUGAGAAGGCUGACUUCUUGGAUUUCUGAAGCAUUACUAAGUGAUCCAGAGGAAAUCAGCACCCCCUGCUCAGCAGAGCUCUGGGAAUGCUGACACUCUUGCUUCAUGUUUAUAUUAACCUAGGUCAAAAGAUCACCUGUCAGGGUCUCCGGGGAAGGCAUCAUCCCAACCUUCCAGCAUCAGUGUGCAAGUGCAACAGAUUAAGAAGUUUGUAGAAAUUGACUAAGGAGCUCCAGAAGAUGACAUGUGAGUUGGAAAAUUCUCGUGCAUAGGUAACCAUUGCACCAACAGCAUUUGAAGAGAAGUAGUCAUUGUACCCACUUCUUUGUAGACAGUCCUGACCCCUGUGUGAUAACCUCAGUUUUCUCAGACCACAGGAAAAUGCAACUGUAAUGUCCUCAUGUACAAAUUAAUUUUCUUAUGUUCCUCUCAGAAUCACAACAUAAAGAAAGGAUAGUAGUGUGA